Molecule: ribosomal RNA, 778 nt
Filed under: Harringtonia aguacate
Lineage: Eukaryota; Fungi; Ascomycota; Sordariomycetes; Ophiostomatales; Ophiostomataceae
Description: Raffaelea aguacate partial large subunit ribosomal RNA
Rfam family: Eukaryotic large subunit ribosomal RNA
Source: RNAcentral
GGCGAGUGAAGCGGCAACAGCUCAAAUUUGAAAUCUGGCCCCCCGCGGGCCCGAGUUGUACUUUGGAGAGGACGCUUCUGGCGCGGCGCCGGCCGAGUGCCCUGGAACGGGCCGCCGGAGAGGGUGAGAGCCCCGUACGGCCGGCCGCCUAGCCUCUGCGAAGCUCCUUCGACGAGUCGAGUAGUUUGGGAAUGCUGCUCAAAAUGGGAGGUAAAUUUCUUCUAAAGCUAAAUACCGGCCAGAGACCGAUAGCGCACAAGUAGAGUGAUCGAAAGAUGAAAAGCACUUUGAAAAGAGGGUUAAACAGUACGUGAAAUUGCUGAAAGGGAAGCGCCUGUGGCCAGACUUGCGCCCCGCGGACCACCCGGCGCCCGCGCCGGGGCACGCCGCGGGGCGCAGGCCAGCAUCGGCUCUCCCAGGGGGACAAAGGCCGCGGGAACGUAGCGCCCUCGGGCGUGUUACAGCCCGCGGCGCCAUGCCCCUGGGGGGGCCGAGGACCGCGCUCCGGCAAGGAUGCUGGCGUAAUGGCCACCGGCGACCCGUCUUGAAACACGGACCAAGGAGUCAAGCAGUGGGGCGAGUGUCUGGGUGGCAAACCCGCACGCGGAAUGAAAGUGAACGCAGGUGGGAGCUUCGGCGCACCACCGACCGAUCCUGAUGUCUUCGGAUGGAUUUGAGUAGGAGCCUUGCCGCUUGGACCCGAAAGAUGGUGAACUAUGCCUGUAUAGGGUGAAGCCAGAGGAAACUCUGGUGGAGGCUCGCAGCGGUUCUGACGUGC